UGGUGUAAUUGAAUAAAAUGAAGAAUAC
Molecule: non-coding RNA, 28 nt
Filed under: Rattus norvegicus (Norway rat)
Lineage: Eukaryota; Metazoa; Chordata; Mammalia; Rodentia; Muridae
Source: RNAcentral